Molecule: long non-coding RNA, 364 nt
Filed under: Brassica napus (rape)
Lineage: Eukaryota; Viridiplantae; Streptophyta; Magnoliopsida; Brassicales; Brassicaceae
Description: long non-coding RNA (BNAP_LNC012510)
Source: RNAcentral
ACGCCCUGGCAGCGUCCAUGCUCACUUCGGUCUCUAGUCUGGACCACUUCGGUAGGGCCAUGAUACUCGGUUAGCAAAAAAAAAAAAAAAAUACAAAUUUCGAGUACUGUUCAAUUAUUUUCUUUCUUCUUCUUUUUUUAUUUCCUUUUAUUUUGAUAUGUUUUAGUAUUCUACUUUCGCUAAAAAUAUUAUGACUUGAGUCCAUAGAAUAAGGUUAGAUUCAAAUCCUAAUAGAGAUGUAUCUUAUUUUUGGGUAUAAAAUAUAAAAUCCAUUGGUUUAUAAGAUAUAUCCGUUUCUUAUUAUUUGAGGAGCAUUAGAUAAAACUAACCUUUAGUUCAUGUGUUUAUUACAUGUGUGCCAUUU